UAGUAAGAAGUAAAUUUUACAUUUAGUUUCGACCUAAAAAUUUGGUUUUAUAACCCUUACUUU
Molecule: transfer RNA, 63 nt
Filed under: Curculio davidi
Lineage: Eukaryota; Metazoa; Arthropoda; Insecta; Coleoptera; Curculionidae
Description: tRNA-Arg
Source: RNAcentral